GGGAAGGGAAAGGCGGGGCCCAUAGGACUGUUGAGGAAUCAGCUCUAACUGAUGAUUGCCAAUGCAGAUAAAGCACUGGCAGAGUUUUCCAGCUUCUCAACAGAAGCAGAAGUCCAAGUGAUGAGGUUUAAGCUGCAAAGACGUAUUACAUAAGAACAAGGGAAGCUGCUUUAUGGCACGCUGGUGAAGGAUCCUGCUGAUUCCUCCUGAGCGGCUCUCGACUUCCUUUAUGGCAUCAAAGGCCCCAGAAACUGUUAGUGAAGAUGACGUGGAGGAGGGGAUAAUUUUUCUGUUUCCUGAGGUGCCGUUUCUCCUUGUAUGCUUGCUGCUCCUUCCUGCAUCUUCGAGGUCAACCACAGAACAUCUUCAAGUCUCUGCUUCCAUCAUCACAUUGCCUUCUGUCCCUCUGUUCUUCUGGCCACCCUCUUAGGAGGACACCUGUGACACAUCAUAUCUACCCAGAUAAUCCUGGAGACCCUCUCCACCUCAAGAUCCUCUAUGUAGUCCCAUCUGCAGAAUACCUUUUGCCAUAUAAGGUAACAUAUCCACAGAUUCCAAGGAUUAGGACGUGAACGUCUCUCUUUGGGAGACAUUGUUCAGCCUACCACACUACAGAUAUCCUAUGAAGUAGUUACAUAAAGCCCAUUUUUAAGUGAAGAAACCGAUAUUCAGAGGGUUUCUUAACUUGCUUCUGUCAGACACUGUUUUAUUCAAGUAUCUGACCAACAUUUACUGAGUGUUCUCUUUGUGGCAGACACUAUAAUUAGUAUUAAACAAAGUGCAGGAAAGUCUACUUGGAGGAGCUAAGUGGGCAAAGUAAACAGUUAUUUAAAAAUUUGCAUAGAUACAAACAUAGUGUUGGAUAGGAAAGGAACACAGUAUUGGGAAAGAAAACUAACAGCAAAGGGAGGAGGGAGUUGAGGAGAAGCCUUCCUUGAGGAAGUGGAAUUUGUGCCAAGAACUGAAGAUACAAGGGAGAAGACAAAGCAGCAGGAACAGCGUUUGAUACUGAAGGGACAGCAAGUGCAAAUGCUCUCCAGUGGUACGCUCCGUGCAGCCACCAGAACACCAGUGUGGCUAGAACAGAUGUUGACACUUACGCUGAUGAUGCAAAAGCGACAGCGGGGGCCACUCGAGCCAGCGGCAGCAGACCCAACAGCUUGCUGGCAGGUCCCUUCCCGCCACAUGCUUGCAAUAAAGAAGGAGGAAAAAAUCAAUUUCAUUUAAGAAUGUCUUCGGUGAAGCAGUAAAAAUGAUUAAUUUUAUUAAAUCUCAACCCUUGAAUACAUGUCCUUUCAAUAUUUUCUGUGAGAAAAUUAUACUUCACAGAGCAAGCGGUUGAGUAGCUGAGUGCCGC
RNAcentral lists this long non-coding RNA (1357 nucleotides) under Heterocephalus glaber (naked mole-rat). RNAcentral's name for it is "lncRNA (ENSHGLG00100051255.1)". The record is from RNAcentral. Lineage: Eukaryota; Metazoa; Chordata; Mammalia; Rodentia; Bathyergidae.